Molecule: ribosomal RNA, 231 nt
Filed under: uncultured bacterium
Lineage: Bacteria
Description: partial 16S ribosomal RNA
Rfam family: Bacterial small subunit ribosomal RNA
Source: RNAcentral
GUAAAGUAGGCGUACGGGUGAGUAACACGUGGAUGAUCUACCUUUUAGUGGGGAAUACCGCAGGGAAACCGGUGACAAUACCGCAUAAGCUCGAGAGAGGAAAGCCGAAAGGCGCUGAAAGAGGAGUCCGCGGCCGAUUAGCUAGUUGGUAGGGUAAUGGCCUACCAAGGCUUUGAUCGGUAGCCGGCCUGAGAGGGCACACGGCCACACUGGCACUGAAACACGGGCCAG